UCUGGUGACCGGAGCGGGGCGGAACCACCCGUUCUCAUCCCGAACACGGAAGUGAAACGUCCCAGCGCCGACGAUACUGUUCUGGUAACGGAAUGGGACAAUAGGUCGUCGCCAGGA
Molecule: ribosomal RNA, 117 nt
Filed under: Chloroflexota bacterium
Lineage: Bacteria; Bacillati; Chloroflexota
Source: RNAcentral